AGCUUUUGAGUAUUUGGCCGAAGUCGAUACGAAGUCACUUUAAUCGAUUUUCAAUUCUCGAUUUAUUUAACCAAUAUCCAACAAUCCCCCACAUGAAUGGAAAUUCCUCAAUAUGCGCAACACAAUGCGAAUGCAAUGAAAAUGAAAUGCAGACUCUAACAAAUGGAGUACACACGACAAGUCAUAGCAUCAAGAUAGGUAGCUUGUGGCCUUGAACCUUCUUUAGUUGAAUACAAUCGGAUUUACUAGGCUAGUUGGUGAACGCGAUGUCUUGAACCAUCCAGCCGUUUGUGUAAAACCAAACAACUGUACCAACACCAUGACUCAUCUAACCCAUUCGGUUCUCA
RNAcentral lists this long non-coding RNA (347 nucleotides) under Olea europaea (common olive). RNAcentral describes it as "long non-coding RNA (OEUR_LNC009448)". The record is from RNAcentral. Lineage: Eukaryota; Viridiplantae; Streptophyta; Magnoliopsida; Lamiales; Oleaceae.